GGGUUGUGAGGUUAAGCGACUAAGCGUACACGGUGGAUGCCCUGGCAGUCAGAGGCGAUGAAGGACGUGCUAAUCUGCGAUAAGCGCCGGUAAGGUGAUAUGAACCGUUAUAACCGGCGAUUUCCGAAUGGGGAAACCCAGUGUGAUUCGUCACACUAUCAUUAACUGAAUCCAUAGGUUAAUGAGGCGAACCGGGGGAACUGAAACAUCUAAGUACCCCGAGGAAAAGAAAUCAACCGAGAUUCCCCCAGUAGCGGCGAGCGAACGGGGAGGAGCCCAGAGCCUGAAUCAGCAUGUGUGUUAGUGGAAGCGUCUGGAAAGGCGCGCGAUACAGGGUGACAGCCCCGUACACAAAAGCGCAUGUGCUGUGAGCUCGAUGAGUAGGGCGGGACACGUGGUAUCCUGUCUGAAUAUGGGGGGACCAUCCUCCAAGGCUAAAUACUCCUGACUGACCGAUAGUGAACCAGUACCGUGAGGGAAAGGCGAAAAGAACCCCGGCGAGGGGAGUGAAAAAGAACCUGAAACCGUGUACGUACAAGCAGUGGGAGCCCCACCACUAAGCCAGUGGUGAACUCCACAUACGCAUCCUUUGCUGAGGAUACGGUUAACGGAGCGCAAGCGACGUUCAACCUCAAAAGAAGCAGAGGGGGCUUAGUGGUGGGGUGACUGCGUACCUUUUGUAUAAUGGGUCAGCGACUUAUAUUCUGUAGCAAGGUUAACCGAAUAGGGGAGCCGGAGGGAAACCGAGUCUUAAUUGGGCGUUAAGUUGCAGGGUAUAGACCCGAAACCCGGUGAUCUAGCCAUGGGCAGGUUGAAGGUUGGGUAACACUAACUGGAGGACCGAACCGGCUAAUGUUGAAAAAUUAGCGGAUGACCUGUGGCUGGGGGUGAAAGGCCAAUCAAACCGGGAGAUAGCUGGUUCUCCCCGAAAGCUAUUUAGGUAGCGCCUCGUGAAUUCAUCUCCGGGGGUAGAGCACUGUUUCGGCUAGGGGGCCAUCCCGGCUUACCAACCCGAUGCAAACUGCGAAUACCGGAGAAUGCUAUCACGGGAGACACACGGCGGGUGCUAACGUCCGUCGUGAAGAGGGAAACAACCCAGACCGCCAGCUAAGGUCCCAAAGUCAUGGUUAAGUGGGAAACGAUGUGGGAAGGCCCAGACAGCCAGGAUGUUGGCUUAGAAGCAGCCAUCAUUUAAAGAAAGCGUAAUAGCUCACUGGUCGAGUCGGCCUGCGCGGAAGAUGUAACGGGGCUAAACCAUGCACCGAAGCUGCGGCAGCGACGCU
Molecule: ribosomal RNA, 1283 nt
Filed under: Salmonella enterica
Lineage: Bacteria; Pseudomonadati; Pseudomonadota; Gammaproteobacteria; Enterobacterales; Enterobacteriaceae
Description: partial 23S ribosomal RNA
Rfam family: Bacterial large subunit ribosomal RNA
Source: RNAcentral